This 865-nucleotide ribosomal RNA is filed under the name uncultured archaeon. RNAcentral describes it as "bacterial SSU rRNA". It matches the Rfam family "Archaeal small subunit ribosomal RNA", at positions 21 to 870 of the family's 1478-position model. The record is from RNAcentral.
AAACAAAAAAAUCGGGUGGACUAGACUGCGUGUUGUGCGUCUCUUGUCUUGUUGCGACGCGGCUUGCGGCUCCGUGCCCUUUAGGUAACCUACCCUCAGGACAGGGACAAACCCGGGAAACUGGGGCUAAUACCAGAUAGGCGAGGACGCCUGGAAUGGUUCUUCACCCAAAGGACCUUGGAAACAUGCUUCCAAGUCGCCUGGGGAUGGGACCGCGUCCGAUCAGGUUGUUGGUGAGGUAAUGGCUCACCAAGCCUAUAACCGGUACGGGCCGUGAGAGCGGUAGCCCGGAGAUGGGCACUGAGACAAGGGCCCAGGCCCUACGGGGCGCAGCAGUCGCGAAAACUCCGCAAUGCACGAAAGUGUGACGGGGCUACCCCGAGUGCCGUCCGCUGAGGACGGCUUUUCCUCGGUGUAACUAGCCGGGGGAAUAAGGAGAGGGCAAGACUGGUGUCAGCCGCCGCGGUAAUACCAGCUCUCCGAGUUGUAGGGAUGAUUAUUGGGCUUAAAGCGUCCGUAGCCGGCUUAGCAAGUCUCCUGUUAAAUUCAGCGACCCAAUCGUUGAGCCGCGGGAGAUACUACUAGGCUAGGAGGCGGGAGAGGUCGACGGUACUUUCGGGGUAGGGGUGAAAUCCUAUAAUCCCGGGAGGACCACCAGUGGCGAAGGCUGUCGACUAGAACGCGCUCGACGGUGAGGGACGAAAGCUGGGGGAGCGAACCGGAUUAGAUACCCGGGUAGUCCCAGCUGUAAACGAUGCGAGCUAGGUGUUGGGGUGGCUACGUGCCACUUCAGUGCCGCAGGGAAGCCAUUAAGCUCGCCGCCUGGGGAGUACGGCCGCAAGGCUGAAACUCAAAUGAAUUGACG